GCCGGGAUCCGGACGGGGAGCAACCGGGGCAGGCCGUGCCGGCUGAGGAGGUCCUGAGGCUACAGAGCUGCCGCGGCUGGCACACGAGCGCCUCGGCACUAACCGAGUGUUCGCGGGGGCUGUGAGGGGAGGGCCCCGGGCGCCAUUGCUGGCGGUGGGAGCGCCGCCCGGUCUCAGCCCGCCCUCGGCUGCUCUCCUCCUCCGGCUGGGAGGGGCCGUAGCUCGGGGCCGUCGCCAGCCCCGGCCCGGGCUCGAGAAUCAAGGGCCUCGGCCGCCGUCCCGCAGCUCAGUCCAUCGCCCUUGCCGGGCAGCCCGGGCAGAGACCAUGUUUGACAAGACGCGGCUGCCGUACGUGGCCCUCGAUGUGCUCUGCGUGUUGCUGGAUUAUUCUUGGAGAAACCCUGUCUGUUUACUGUAACCUUUUGCACUCAAAUUCCUUUAUCAGGAAUAACUACAUAGCCACUAUUUACAAAGCCAUUGGAACCUUUUUAUUUGGUGCAGCUGCUAGUCAGUCCCUGACUGACAUUGCCAAGUAUUCAAUAGGCAGACUGCGGCCUCACUUCUUGGAUGUUUGUGAUCCAGAUUGGUCAAAAAUCAACUGCAGCGAUGGUUACAUUGAAUACUACAUAUGUCGAGGGAAUGCAGAAAGAGUUAAGGAAGGCAGGUUGUCCUUCUAUUCAGGCCACUCUUCGUUUUCCAUGUACUGCAUGCUGUUUGUGGCACUUUAUCUUCAAGCCAGGAUGAAGGGAGACUGGGCAAGACUCUUACGCCCCACACUGCAAUUUGGUCUUGUUGCCGUAUCCAUUUAUGUGGGCCUUUCUCGAGUUUCUGAUUAUAAACACCACUGGAGCGAUGUGUUGACUGGACUCAUUCAGGGAGCUCUGGUUGCAAUAUUAGUUGCUGUAUAUGUAUCGGAUUUCUUCAAAGAAAGAACUUCUUUUAAAGAAAGAAAAGAGGAGGACUCUCAUACAACUCUGCAUGAAACACCAACAACUGGGAAUCACUAUCCGAGCAAUCACCAGCCUUGAAAGGCAGCAGGGUGCCCAGGUGAAGCUGGCCUGUUUUCUAAAGGAAAAUGAUUGCCACAAGGCAAGAGGAUGCAUCUUUCUUCCUGGUGUACAAGCCUUUAAAGACUUCUGCUGCUGCUAUGCCUCUUGGAUGCACACUUUGUGUGUACAUAGUUACCUUUAACUCAGUGGUUAUCUAAUAGCUCUAAACUCAUUAAAAAAACUCCAAGCCUUCCACCAAAACAGUGCCCCACCUGUAUACAUUUUUAUUAAAAAAAUGUAAUGCUUAUGUAUAAACAUGUAUGUAAUAUGCUUUCUAUGAAUGAUGUUUGAUUUAAAUAUAAUACAUAUUAAAAUGUAUGGGAG
This 1373-nucleotide long non-coding RNA is filed under the name Homo sapiens (human). RNAcentral describes it as "long non-coding RNA NONHSAT204180.1". The record is from RNAcentral. Lineage: Eukaryota; Metazoa; Chordata; Mammalia; Primates; Hominidae.